This 254-nucleotide ribosomal RNA is filed under the name uncultured bacterium. RNAcentral's name for it is "partial 16S ribosomal RNA". It matches the Rfam family "Bacterial small subunit ribosomal RNA", at positions 524 to 776 of the family's 1533-position model. The record is from RNAcentral.
UACGGGGGGGGGCAAGCGUUGUUCGGAAUUACUGGGCGUAAAGGGCGCGUAGGCGGCCUGAUAAGUAGGGGGUGAAAUCCUGUGGCUUAACUGCAGGGCUGCCUCCUAGACUGUUAGGCUCGAGCACGGUAGAGGCAGAUGGAAUUCCCGGUGUAGCGGUGGAAUGCGUAGAGAUCGGGAAGAACAUCGGUGGCGAAGGCGGUCUGCUGGGCCGUUGCUGACGCUGAGGCGCGACAGCGUGGGGAGCAAACAGG